CGGAACGAACGCUGGCGGCGCGUCUUAAGCAUGCAAGUCGAACGGCAAGAGGUAGCAAUACCUCCUAGAGUGGCGGACUGGUGAGUAACACGUGGGUGACAUACCCUUCAGAUGGGGAUAGCUAUUAGAAAUAGUAGAUAAUACCGAAUACGAGCACAGGGGUUAGAGAUCUGUGAGGAAAGGAGCUAAGGCUCCGCUGAAGGAAUGGCCUGCGGCCCAUUAGCUAGUUGGUGAGGUAAGAGCCCACCAAGGCGAUGAUGGGUAUCCGGCCUUAGAGGGUGAACGGACACAUUGGGACUGAGAUACGGCCCAGACUCCUACGGGAGGCAGCAGCUAAGAAUAUUCCGCAAUGGACGAAAGUCUGACGGAGCGACGCCGCGUGGAUGAAAGAAGGCCGGAAGGUUGUAAAAUCCUUUUGAAACUGAAGAAUAAGCGUUGUAGGGAAUGACAGCGUGGUGACAGUAGGUUUUGAAUAAGCAACGGCUAAUUACGUGCCAGCAGCUGC
Molecule: ribosomal RNA, 505 nt
Filed under: uncultured bacterium
Lineage: Bacteria
Description: bacterial SSU rRNA
Rfam family: Bacterial small subunit ribosomal RNA
Source: RNAcentral